RNAcentral lists this ribosomal RNA (498 nucleotides) under uncultured bacterium. RNAcentral's name for it is "partial 16S ribosomal RNA". It matches the Rfam family "Bacterial small subunit ribosomal RNA", at positions 30 to 523 of the family's 1533-position model. The record is from RNAcentral.
AUUGAACGCUGGCGGCAUGCCUUACACAUGCAAGUCGAACGGUAACAGGUCUUCGGAUGCUGACGAGUGGCGAACGGGCGAGUAAUACAUCGGAACGUGCCUAGUAGUGGGGGAUAACUACUCGAAAGAGUGGCUAAUACCGCAUGAGAUCUACGGAUGAAAGCAGGGGAUCGCAAGACCUCGUGCUACUAGAGAGGCCGAUGGCAGAUUAGGGAGUUGGUGGGAUAAAAGCUUACCAAGCCGACGAUCUGUAGCUGGUCUGAGAGGACGAUCAGCCACACUGGGACUGAGAAACGGCCCAGACUCCUACGGGAGGCAGCAGUGGGGAAUUUUGGACAAUGGGCGAAAGCCUGAUCCAGCAAUGCCGCGUGCAGGAUGAAGGCCUUCGGGUUGUAAACUGCUUUUGUACGGAACGAAAAGCCCCGGGUUAAUACCCUGGGGUCAUGACGGUACCGUAAGAAUAAGCACCGGCUAACUACGUGCCAGCCGCCGCGGUAA